Molecule: ribosomal RNA, 465 nt
Filed under: Vreelandella stevensii
Lineage: Bacteria; Pseudomonadati; Pseudomonadota; Gammaproteobacteria; Oceanospirillales; Halomonadaceae
Description: partial 16S ribosomal RNA
Rfam family: Bacterial small subunit ribosomal RNA
Source: RNAcentral
CCUACGGGAGGCAGCAGUGGGGAAUAUUGGACAAUGGGGGGAACCCUGAUCCAGCCAUGCCGCGUGUGUGAAGAAGGCCCUCGGGUUGUAAAGCACUUUCAGUGAGGAAGAACGCCUGGUGGUUAAUACCCAUCAGGAAAGACAUCACUCACAGAAGAAGCACCGGCUAACUCCGUGCCAGCAGCCGCGGUAAUACGGAGGGUGCGAGCGUUAAUCGGAAUUACUGGGCGUAAAGCGCGCGUAGGUGGCUUGAUAAGCCGGUUGUGAAAGCCCCGGGCUCAACCUGGGAACGGCAUCCGGAACUGUCAAGCUAGAGUGCAGGAGAGGAAGGUAGAAUUCCCGGUGUAGCGGUGAAAUGCGUAGAGAUCGGGAGGAAUACCAGUGGCGAAGGCGGCCUUCUGGACUGACACUGACACUGAGGUGCGAAAGCGUGGGUAGCAAACAGGAUUAGAUACCCAUGUAGUC